This 492-nucleotide ribosomal RNA is filed under the name uncultured bacterium. RNAcentral describes it as "partial 16S ribosomal RNA". It matches the Rfam family "Bacterial small subunit ribosomal RNA", at positions 29 to 507 of the family's 1533-position model. The record is from RNAcentral.
AGUGAACGCUGGCGGUAGGCCUAACACAUGCAAGUCGAACGGCAGCACAGUAAGAGCUUGCUCUUACGGGUGGCGAGUGGCGGACGGGUGAGGAAUACAUCGGAAUCUACUUUUUCGUGGGGGAUAACGUAGGGAAACUUACGCUAAUACCGCAUACGACCUACUGGUGAAAGCAGGGGAUCUUCGGACCUUGCGCGAUUGAAUGAGCCGAUGUCGGAUUAGCUAGUUGGCGGGGUAAAGGCCCACCAAGGCGACGAUCCGUAGCUGGUCUGAGAGGAUGAACAGCCAGAUUGGAACUGAGACACGGUCCAGACUCUUACAGGAGGCAGCAGUGGGGAAUAUUGGACGAUGGGCGCAAGCCUGAUCCAGCCAUACCGCGUGGGUGAAGAAGGCCUUCGGGUUGUAAAGCCCUGUUGUUGGGAAAGAAAAGCAGCAGGUUAAUACCCCGCUGUUCUGACGGUACCCAAAGAAUAAGCACCGGCUAACUUCGUG